GUCCUACGGGGCGCAGCAGUGGGGAAUAUUGCACAAUGGGGGAAACCCUGAUGCAGCGACACCGCGUGAGUGAAGAAGUAUUUCGGUACGUAAAGCUCUAUCAGCAGGGAAGAAAAUGACGGUACCUGACUAAGAAGCCCCGGCUAACUGCGUGCCAGCAGCCGCGGUAAUACGUAGGGGGCAAGCGUUAUCCGGAUUUACUGGGUGUAAAGGGAGCGUAGACGGCAGCGCAAGUCUGGAGUGAAAUCCCAUGGCUUAACCAUGGAACUGCUUUGGAAACUGUGCAGCUAGAGUGCAGGAGAGGG
Molecule: ribosomal RNA, 305 nt
Filed under: uncultured bacterium
Lineage: Bacteria
Description: bacterial SSU rRNA
Rfam family: Bacterial small subunit ribosomal RNA
Source: RNAcentral